RNAcentral lists this ribosomal RNA (381 nucleotides) under uncultured bacterium. RNAcentral's name for it is "bacterial SSU rRNA". It matches the Rfam family "Bacterial small subunit ribosomal RNA", at positions 524 to 905 of the family's 1533-position model. The record is from RNAcentral.
UACGUAGGGUGCGAGCGUUAAUCGGAAUUACUGGGCGUAAGGCGUGCGCAGGCGGUUUGCUAAGACCGAUGUGAAAUCCCCGGGCUCAACCUGGGAACUGCAUUGGUGACUGGCAGGCUAGAGUAUGGCAGAGGGGGGUAGAAUUCCACGUGUAGCAGUGAAAUGCGUAGAGAUGUGGAGGAAUACCGAUGGCGAAGGCAGCCUCCUGGGCCAAUACUGACGCUCAUGCACGAAAGCGUGGGGAGCAAACAGGAUUAGAUACCCUGGUAGUCCACGCCCUAAACGAUGUCAACUAGUUGUUGGGGAUUCAUUUCCUUAGUAACGUAGCUAACGCGUGAAGUUGACCGCCUGGGGAGUACGGUCGCAAGAUUAAAACUCAAA